This 253-nucleotide ribosomal RNA is filed under the name uncultured bacterium. Its description in RNAcentral is "partial 16S ribosomal RNA". It matches the Rfam family "Bacterial small subunit ribosomal RNA", at positions 524 to 776 of the family's 1533-position model. The record is from RNAcentral.
UACGGGGGGGGCAAGCGUUGUUCGGAAUUACUGGGCGUAAAGGGCUCGUAGGCGGCCAACUAAGUCAGACGUGAAAUCCCUCGGCUUAACCGGGGAACUGCGUCUGAUACUGGUUGGCUUGAAUCCGGGAGAGGGAUGUGGAAUUCCAGGUGUAGCGGUGAAAUGCGUAGAUAUCUGGAGGAACACCGGUGGCGAAGGCGGGUCUCUGGGCAUCUCCUGACGCUGAGGCGCGAAAGCGUGGGGAGCAAACGGG